RNAcentral lists this transfer RNA (76 nucleotides) under Peptococcaceae bacterium 1109. RNAcentral's name for it is "tRNA-Met". It matches the Rfam family "tRNA". Rfam says of the family: Transfer RNA (tRNA) molecules are approximately 80 nucleotides in length. Their secondary structure includes four short double-helical elements and three loops (D, anti-codon, and T loops). Further hydrogen bonds mediate the characteristic L-shaped molecular structure. tRNAs have two regions of fundamental functional importance: the anti-codon, which is responsible for specific mRNA codon recognition, and the 3' end, to which the tRNAs corresponding amino acid is attached (by aminoacyl-tRNA synthetases). tRNAs cope with the degeneracy of the genetic code in two manners: having more than one tRNA (with a specific anti-codon) for a particular amino acid; and 'wobble' base-pairing, i.e. permitting non-standard base-pairing at the 3rd anti-codon position. RNAcentral also lists the same sequence under 2 other names. Lineage: Bacteria; Bacillati; Bacillota; Clostridia; Eubacteriales; Peptococcaceae. The record is from RNAcentral.
GGACCCCUAGCUCAGCGGUUAGAGCAGCGGACUCAUAAUCCGUUGGUCCUGGGUUCAAAUCCCAGGGGGUCCACCA